This 74-nucleotide transfer RNA is filed under the name Eurystomus gularis. RNAcentral describes it as "tRNA-Asn". It matches the Rfam family "tRNA". Rfam says of the family: Transfer RNA (tRNA) molecules are approximately 80 nucleotides in length. Their secondary structure includes four short double-helical elements and three loops (D, anti-codon, and T loops). Further hydrogen bonds mediate the characteristic L-shaped molecular structure. tRNAs have two regions of fundamental functional importance: the anti-codon, which is responsible for specific mRNA codon recognition, and the 3' end, to which the tRNAs corresponding amino acid is attached (by aminoacyl-tRNA synthetases). tRNAs cope with the degeneracy of the genetic code in two manners: having more than one tRNA (with a specific anti-codon) for a particular amino acid; and 'wobble' base-pairing, i.e. permitting non-standard base-pairing at the 3rd anti-codon position. The record is from RNAcentral. Lineage: Eukaryota; Metazoa; Chordata; Aves; Coraciiformes; Coraciidae.
UAGAUAGAGGCCUGUUGGUUAGGGCACCUAGCUGUUAAUUAGGGGGUUUGUGGGAUCGAAGCCCACCUGUCUAG